This 371-nucleotide ribosomal RNA is filed under the name uncultured bacterium. RNAcentral's name for it is "bacterial SSU rRNA". It matches the Rfam family "Bacterial small subunit ribosomal RNA", at positions 521 to 896 of the family's 1533-position model. The record is from RNAcentral.
UAAUACGGAGGAUCCAAGCGUUAUCCGGAAUCAUUGGGUUUAAAGGGUCCGUAGGCGGUUUUGUAAGUCAGUGGUGAAAUCUGGUCGCUCAACGAUCAAACGGCCAUUGAUACUGCAAGACUUGAAUUACUGGGAAGUAACUAGAAUAUGUAGUGUAGCGGUGAAAUGCUUAGAUAUUACAUGGAAUACCAAUUGCGAAGGCAGGUUACUACCAGUGGAUUGACGCUGAUGGACGAAAGCGUGGGGAGCGAACAGGAUUAGAUACCCUGGUAGUCCACGCCGUAAACGAUGGAUACUAGCUGUUGGGGUUUACCUCAGUGGCUAAGCGAAAGUGAUAAGUAUCCCACCUGGGGAGUACGUUCGCAAGAAUG